RNAcentral lists this unclassified non-coding RNA (181 nucleotides) under soil metagenome. Its description in RNAcentral is "partial internal transcribed spacer 1". The record is from RNAcentral.
CAAGAGUAUUUCAGUUUUGGCUUUAUGCCCCUCUGAAAAAUCUAUCCACCCUUUGUUUAACAUUACCUUUGUUGUUGCCUCGGUGGGUGGCUUUAUAGCACCUGCCGGCAGACACCUUCAAAAAAACCCUUGAUUUAAUACUAUAGUCAGAGCUGUAACAAGCAAAAGAGUUAAUAAAUCA